Molecule: small nuclear RNA, 157 nt
Organism: Arvicanthis niloticus (Nile rat)
Lineage: Eukaryota; Metazoa; Chordata; Mammalia; Rodentia; Muridae
Product: U1 spliceosomal RNA
Source: RefSeq, a predicted model, not a curated record
ACACUUACCUGGCAGGGGAGAUACCAUGAUAAAGGUGGGUUUCCCAGAGUGAGACUUAUCCAUUGUACUCCAGAUGUGCUGGCCCCUGAAGUUUCCCCAAAUAUAGGAAAUUCCAGAGUAAUUUGUGGUAGUGGGGACUGUGUUUGAUCUAUCCUAU